RNAcentral lists this ribosomal RNA (335 nucleotides) under Escherichia sp. E4208. RNAcentral's name for it is "partial 23S ribosomal RNA". It matches the Rfam family "Bacterial large subunit ribosomal RNA", at positions 2609 to 2925 of the family's 2925-position model. Lineage: Bacteria; Pseudomonadati; Pseudomonadota; Gammaproteobacteria; Enterobacterales; Enterobacteriaceae. The record is from RNAcentral.
GUUUAGAACGUCGUGAGACAGUUCGGUCCCUAUCUGCCGUGGGGCGCUGGAGAACUGAGGGGGGCUGCUCCUAGUACGAGAGGACCGGAGUGGACGCAUCACUGGUGUUCGGGUUGUCAUGCCAAUGGCACUGCCCGGUAGCUAAAUGCGGAAGAGAUAAGUGCUGAAAGCAUCUAAGCACGAAACUUGCCCCGAGAUGAGUUCUCCCUGAGACUUUAAGUCUCCUGAAGGAACGUUGAAGACGACGACGUUGAUAGGCCGGGUGUGUAAGCGCAGCGAUGCGUUGAGCUAACCGGUACUAAUGAACCGUGAGGCUUAACCUUACAACGCCGAAG